Molecule: non-coding RNA, 182 nt
Organism: Clostridiales bacterium KLE1615
Lineage: Bacteria; Bacillati; Bacillota; Clostridia; Eubacteriales
Rfam family: 6S / SsrS RNA
About the family: E. coli 6S RNA was the first non coding RNA to be sequenced, but its function was unknown until recently. It consists of 184 nucleotides that fold into an extended hairpin structure with a large single-stranded internal bulge.
Source: Rfam
UAGAUCCUGGGGUGUACGAAGUCUUGCUUUUAUUUGAACCUACAUGACUUAAUACGGGAUUCCUAUAUUGUCAGGCAGAUGUCAGGCCUCCGUUGUGCAGUGGAAGGCAGAAGUUUGAUUGCGGUUGCCCACCUAGCAUUAGCUAGGCGUCAAAUGGGCAGGGACGGCACUCUGGGAUAGUA